This is a long non-coding RNA of Gambusia affinis (western mosquitofish), 315 nucleotides long. RefSeq lists it as uncharacterized. Lineage: Eukaryota; Metazoa; Chordata; Actinopteri; Cyprinodontiformes; Poeciliidae. The transcript is spliced from 2 exons. The record is from RefSeq and is a predicted model, not a curated record.
AACAAAAACCUCCAGAUGAUCAGAUGUCUAACAGAGAUUAUGACAAGUCAACUCAAAGCAACGUUAUUGAUGCAGCACCUUUCAACAUUAAGACACUUCCAGGGAGCUGCGUUUCCCAUCAUGGAGGUUCUGGGUUCUGGAGCAGAUCGUGUCCAGCAGCUGGUCACUGAUUGAUCAGAGCAGCUCCCAGCAGAGCUCCCUCUGGUGGUGGAAAACAGAAUGACCACAUAGCAGCUCUCCUGUUUCACGUGUUUCUUGCUUAUUGUUGCCCAUUUGUCAGUGAGGUUCUGUGUCACUGUGUCAUAAAUAAAACAU